GUUUUAAUAUUUUCUAAUAACAUGUGUUAUCUGUUUUAAAGGUUUGGAUAUCUGCUGCAAAGCGAACGUUGUGUGUACUAUUGCAAAAUAGCGGAUCUCCCCGGUUAGGAUACAGACCACAACGCUUUGGACGUAUCUUUAAAAAAGAGAAAAAUCAGAGACUUUUUGGAUUUGUCUGGGGACAUUUUAAACAUUUUGUGUCAAAUUGGAUUUAAAACAUUUCGGAUACUGGAUACCUAGUUUGAUUUGUCCACAGAGCUUGUUUAAGACGUUUUCACCUCAUUUUAGGGUUUAUUUUUAAUUAAAGGCUUCUUAAAACAUGUAUGAAAAUGUGUAUAUUAUACAAUGAGUCUUAUAUUGUCUGCUCUGACAAAAAUAAAUUAUUAUUUUAGAUCUUA
Long non-coding RNA from Paramisgurnus dabryanus, 398 nucleotides. RefSeq lists it as uncharacterized. The record is from RefSeq and is a predicted model, not a curated record. Lineage: Eukaryota; Metazoa; Chordata; Actinopteri; Cypriniformes; Cobitidae.